RNAcentral lists this ribosomal RNA (301 nucleotides) under uncultured bacterium. RNAcentral's name for it is "partial 16S ribosomal RNA". It matches the Rfam family "Bacterial small subunit ribosomal RNA", at positions 509 to 807 of the family's 1533-position model. The record is from RNAcentral.
CAGUCGCCGCGGGAAUACGUAGGGUGCAAGCGUUAAUCGGAAUUACUGGGCGUAAAGCGUGCGCAGGCGGUGAGUUAAGUCUGCUGUGAAAUCCCCGGGCUCAACCUGGGAAUGGCGAUGGAUACUGGCUGGCUAGAGUGUGUCAGAGGAUGGUGGAAUUUCCGGUGUAGCGGUGAAAUGCGUAGAGAUGUGGAGGAACACCGAUGGCGAAGGCAGCCCCCUGGGCCAAUACUGACGCUCAUGCACGAAAGCGUGGGGAGCAAACAGGAUUAGAGACCCGUGUAGUCCCUGUCUCUUAUAC